CAAAAGCUGAAAGGGCACACCUUAUAGUGUAUAUUGAAACCAUGAUUAAAUAUUUUAUUUUUCUUCUCAUUCUACAAUCCUGCCAGAUAAUUAAAUCAUAUUCUAAACCAGUUAUUAGAAGACUUCCUGGAUAUCUUGAAGAUCUUCCUUUCAAAUUAGAAACCGGCUGCCAACUAAAUCACCAGGAUAAGCAAUUGCAUCAUCUCCUCUAUAACAGUCAGAGUUGGAUGCAUACCCGAGCCACUAGCUCUGGGGAACCCGUUCGCCCGAAGGCCUAUCACGGUAAAACCUGGUUCAACUCGGUUUCGAACUGGCGACCUCCGAAGAGACCUAUUGCUAAACUUCAUUGCCACCACCAAUAUCCUUUAAAGUGAUGCUAAUGGGAGUUGAACUUAGGAGCUCAAAGAAAGAAACAAAUGACUAACUACUAGACCAACUUGUCAGGACUAGUGGUCUUCUUAUAACAAAUUGGGAAAACUUCACACAAUGAUAGUCAAAUUUUUCAUUUGUUUCACUAAAGUCA
Long non-coding RNA from Helianthus annuus (common sunflower), 523 nucleotides. RefSeq lists it as uncharacterized. The record is from RefSeq and is a predicted model, not a curated record. The transcript is spliced from 2 exons. NCBI's taxonomy places the organism in Eukaryota, Viridiplantae, Streptophyta, Magnoliopsida, Asterales, Asteraceae.